Molecule: unclassified non-coding RNA, 21 nt
Filed under: Dictyostelium discoideum
Lineage: Eukaryota; Evosea; Eumycetozoa; Dictyosteliales; Dictyosteliaceae
Source: RNAcentral
UUGCAGCUUCAUGUGUUGAUC